RNAcentral lists this non-coding RNA (22 nucleotides) under Arabidopsis thaliana (thale cress). Lineage: Eukaryota; Viridiplantae; Streptophyta; Magnoliopsida; Brassicales; Brassicaceae. The record is from RNAcentral.
CUGGUUCAUACCCACUUAGCCA